CGCCCGAGCGUGGAGUGCGCACGCGGCAGUCGGGGAGGUGGUUUGGGGUGACGGAAUCCCUGUCCCGCUGCGCUUGGGUGAAUUUCUUUGUCUUGGUGCGCCGGCCGCGGCGUGCACGCUGCGGAGGAGGUGUGCUGGCGGCGCUCUGAGCCUGUGCGUUUGCGGACGGAGACUUGCGGAAGAAAUGGCAAUAAACGCGGGUGGUUACAGAGGCUUCACUGGAGAGAGUGGCGCCACCAAGCGCCUUUCCUGAGAACUACACUCAGCAUCUCAGCCUCAGACCACCUGAGCUUUGAAUUGUGUCUGCCACUUUCUCAGGAAGUGUGUGGAGCAUGAAGGAGAAAACCAUGAACCAGGACCUCAGGGAAUCCAAGAAACAGGAUAUGCAGCCCAGGAAAGAUGCAAGAGAAAGUGUUGCCGCCACAGCUGCGCAGCAGGCCUGGAGAGGAAUCAGUCCCAAACGGAGGAGGAAAACAGAGAGCUGCAAGGGAAGCGGGGGGGGGAAAUGUCUCUAAGAAACGAAAAUUGAAAAUCAAUUGAGGGGCGCCUGGGUGGCUCAGUGGAUUAAGCCGCUGCCUUCGGCUCAGGUCAUGA
Long non-coding RNA from Neogale vison (American mink), 594 nucleotides. RefSeq lists it as uncharacterized. The record is from RefSeq and is a predicted model, not a curated record. NCBI's taxonomy places the organism in Eukaryota, Metazoa, Chordata, Mammalia, Carnivora, Mustelidae. The transcript is spliced from 3 exons.